GUCAGUGCACCAUUUUAGGGGUCCAAAAAUUUUUCCGGACGUACAAAAAUUUUCCGGAACAUUCAAAAAUUUUCCGCACAUAGCAAAUUUUCAACAUUUUUUUACAUUUUUCCAAAAUUUUUACAUUUUUCCUCAAAAUUUUCCUAAAAUUCCCACCACGUUCUUGCCCUUUGCGCCAAAAAUAUUUAACUCAAAUAGCAGUUCUACCGACUGAAUAGCAGUCCUACCGACUGAAUAGCAGUCCUGCCGACUGAAUACAAUUACUGGGGGGUGUCACACACCCCCACACCCCCCCCCCC
Non-coding RNA from Paramuricea clavata, 299 nucleotides. Lineage: Eukaryota; Metazoa; Cnidaria; Anthozoa; Malacalcyonacea; Plexauridae. The record is from the annotation of a GenBank genome assembly.